This 65-nucleotide transfer RNA is filed under the name Eratyrus mucronatus. RNAcentral describes it as "tRNA-Thr". The record is from RNAcentral. Lineage: Eukaryota; Metazoa; Arthropoda; Insecta; Hemiptera; Reduviidae.
GUUUUAAUAGUUUAAAAAAAAAUAAUGAUCUUGUAAAUCAUAGAUAGAAACUAAUCUUUAAAACU